This 213-nucleotide long non-coding RNA is filed under the name Vigna radiata. RNAcentral's name for it is "long non-coding RNA (VRAD_LNC009309)". Lineage: Eukaryota; Viridiplantae; Streptophyta; Magnoliopsida; Fabales; Fabaceae. The record is from RNAcentral.
GUUGAAAAAUAGUCUACAAAUUGUGUUUUUUAGGUUAAGUUUUAUGUCGCGUGUAUUGGGCUGUAGGCCCAAUAAUAAAUGGACUGAACAUCAUGCAAAACUUUGCAAUCUACGAAAGGGUGUUUCAUCCUCCACCUCCAAGCUUUCAUCCUGCACCUCCAAAAAUUACCAUUUUAACCUUAAUUAAUAUUAUUUUAAUAUUUUCUCUUUCUU